UUGUAUUUCAUAUAAUAUUAACUUGAUUCACUGAUGAUGAUGGGAAAAUGUUGAGCUUCUGCAAUAUUCUUUAUAUUGAGACCAAGUCGUGCCAUCAAAGUGCCUUUGUUCACUUUGACUCUGUCCCCCAAAGUAAUCAGUUAAAUGAGGCACAUUGUGUCUGUGCCAGAUCUUUUGGCUGAAUGAAUAUACUGAGGCUAUACACAUUCAUUAAUCACCUGGAUUAUAUUACUUUGUCUUCAUUUGGCUGCUCAUUUUAAAGGUUGCCACAAGUUAUCCUCCUACAUCUCCCCCUCUUCCAGCAUCCACCCCUAACAGCCUUGCUGCUCUCCUUCUGUCACAAAUCACCUUUGAUGUUGAUCUCCACCCAAUCCACCCCGCCUGCAUUCUCCUUUCUCACCUCCCUUUGCAUUGUCCAUUCCUUUCAAGGGUUGACUCCAGGUCUACAAAGAGUCGCACUUCCUGCUGUGGUUCAGAUGUUCAGCGUGUUGCUUUGUUUCUCACAUGUUGGCUCCACGGUCUCUGCUGCUGUGGGCUGAUGUCAUGCAGCAAUACAGCUGCUGAACAUCUGGCCUUUUUUUGCUCCAUCAGCAGAUAUUUGACUUUUAGAUCACAUGAUAUUUGCAUGCAACCUUCAAACACGUGUGGAGAAUUCAUUAUUUCUUUGAGAGAUUUUUUAGUAAAUAACAGAAAAAAGAAAGUAAGAGAAAAGCAAAACUUUAAUUCUAUAAAAGAGUAAAAAUUCGUCACACAUGUAACUCACCACUGUGUGAACAUCACAGGGGAGAAAUCGUUUCUCUGAGUCAGAGAUGAGUGUCAGUAACACAAAAGUAACACUCAGUGUCAUGCAGUGACUUUUACACAACCAGAUCAGAUGAACCAACUCACACUAAAACAUGCAUUUUGCUGCACUCUUUACACUUAUUUCUUUUCUUUCUGCUCUUUUAUAUAUUUUGUAAAACCACAAAAAAUAUUUUAUAUCAGCAGCAAUUUUUCUCAAACUGCUGCAUCACAGCUUUCAUGCUCUGACCUGCAUGUGAAAUGAGAUAUGCUGUCAUACUCACACAUUUAUAACAGGAAGUGGAAAGAAGCUCGAUCUGUCACGUCACUCAAAUGCGACAAACCAGGAAACAGGAAGUUCUUCUUCCUCAGUAAAGAGAGACGCACAGACGAUCAGACUGAGUUCAGACCAAACUAGCAGCUUCCUCUGAGUGAGUCCAGCUACAGGAGAGAAAAGUGGAAAACUCCAACACUGCUGCUUCAAGCUGCUGACGCUCCACACACUGAAUCUUCACUCACAGACUCAAUGGCUUCCAGAUCAGAGGAGGAUCUCUGCUGUCAGGUCUGUCAGGAGGUCUUCAGAGAUCCUGUUCUUCUGUCAUGUAGCCACAGCUUCUGUAAAGACUGUCUGAAGAGAUGGUGGAGA
This is a long non-coding RNA of Oreochromis niloticus (Nile tilapia), 1426 nucleotides long. RefSeq lists it as uncharacterized. The record is from RefSeq and is a predicted model, not a curated record. The transcript has 3 exons. Lineage: Eukaryota; Metazoa; Chordata; Actinopteri; Cichliformes; Cichlidae.